UGACAGGGAGACAGGUGGUGCAUGGCUGUCGUCAGCUCGUGUCGUGAGAUGUUGGGUUAAGUCCCGCAACGAGCGCAACCCUUAUCAUUAGUUGCUACGCAAGGGCACUCUAAUGAGACUGCCGGUGACAAACCGGAGGAAGGUGGGGAUGACGUCAAGUCCUCAUGGCCCUUAUAGGUGGGGCUACACACGUCAUACAAUGGCUGGUACAAAGGGUUGCCAACCCGCGAGGGGGAGCCAAUCCCAUAAAGCCAGUCGUAGUCCGGGUCGUAGUCUGCAACUCGACUACGUGAAGUCGGAAUCGCUAGUAAUCGUGGAUCAGAAUGUCACGGUGAAUACGUUCCCGGGUCUU
Molecule: ribosomal RNA, 352 nt
Filed under: uncultured Hydrogenophaga sp.
Lineage: Bacteria; Pseudomonadati; Pseudomonadota; Betaproteobacteria; Burkholderiales; Comamonadaceae
Description: bacterial SSU rRNA
Rfam family: Bacterial small subunit ribosomal RNA
Source: RNAcentral